RNAcentral lists this ribosomal RNA (519 nucleotides) under Rosopaella napais. RNAcentral's name for it is "partial large subunit ribosomal RNA". It matches the Rfam family "Bacterial large subunit ribosomal RNA", at positions 1825 to 2607 of the family's 2925-position model. Lineage: Eukaryota; Metazoa; Arthropoda; Insecta; Hemiptera; Cicadellidae. The record is from RNAcentral.
GCAUUUCUUUAAGAUAAUAUUUAAGGUAGUCUCUGCCCUAUGAUUUUUAAACGUUAAAUGGCUGCAGUAUUCUGACUGUGCAAAGGUAGCAUAAUAAAUAGUCUUUUAAUUGGGGACUGGUAUGAAUGAGUUAAUGAGAAAUUAAUUUUAUUUAUAAUAAAAAUUUAAUUUUAUUUUUAAGUUAAAAAGCUUAAUUUUUUUUUUGGGACGAUAAGACCCUAUAGAACUUUAUAAUUUUAUAAUGUUUUUCUCUUUGGAAAUUUUUUAUUAUUAUUUCUAAAAUUAUUUUGCUGGGGCGGCGGAUAAAUUUAAACUUUAUUUUAAAAUUUCAAUAAUUUUUGAUUUCUUGGUCCAUUAUUUGAUCAAAAGAAAAAGUUACCUUAGGGAUAACAGCGUAAUUUUAAUGGAAAGUUCAUAUUUAUAUUAAAGUUUGCGACCUCGAUGUUGAAUUAAGAUAAUGCUAAGGGGUAGUUUUUUUAGUUUUAAGUCUGUUCGACUUUUAAAUUCUUACAUGAUCUG